GAAGGGAUAGCUCAGCGGUAGAGCACAUGCUUAGCAUGCACAAGGUCCUGGGUUCAAUUCCUAGUACCUCCA
This 72-nucleotide transfer RNA is filed under the name Camelus bactrianus (Bactrian camel). It matches the Rfam family "tRNA". From Rfam's summary of the family: Transfer RNA (tRNA) molecules are approximately 80 nucleotides in length. RNAcentral also lists the same sequence under 1 other name. Lineage: Eukaryota; Metazoa; Chordata; Mammalia; Artiodactyla; Camelidae. The record is from Rfam by way of RNAcentral.